This 468-nucleotide ribosomal RNA is filed under the name uncultured bacterium. RNAcentral describes it as "partial 16S ribosomal RNA". It matches the Rfam family "Bacterial small subunit ribosomal RNA", at positions 28 to 507 of the family's 1533-position model. The record is from RNAcentral.
GACGAACGCUGGCGGCGUGCUUAACACAUGCAAGUCGAACGGAAAGGCCCUGCUUUUGUGGGUUGCUCGAUUGGCGAACGGGUGAGUAACACGUGAGUAACCUGCCCUUGACUUUGUGAUAACUUCACGAAACUCCGGCUAUUAUCGGAUAGGAUCUCUUGCUGCAUGUUGGGGGUUGGAAAGUUUCGGCGUUGCUAGAUGGACUCGCGGCUUAUCAGCUUGUUUGUGUGGUAGUGGCUUACCAAGGGUUUGACGGGUAGCCGGCCUGAGAGGGGUGACGGGCACAAUGGGACUGAGGGAGGGAGCAGAAGGGUACGGGAGGCAGUAGGGGGGAGUAUGACAGAACGGGGCGAAGUCAGAUGCAGCGACGCCGGGAGCGGGAUAAUGGGCUUUGGGGUGUGAACAGAUGUCGCCUGUGACGAAGCGAGAGUGACGGUAAUGGGUAAAGAAGCAACGGCUAACUACGUG